GCUGUGUUAUUAUCGAAUAGGGACCCUGCUUGCUGUUUGUGCGGGUUUGUUAGUUGGUUUAGGAAGGACUAUAUGGUUUUUGUCUGAUGUUUCAUGUUUCUUAGCUUGGUGGCUUGUAUGUUGCAAUGUCUGGUAGGAUAUAGGUGAUGUUAUUAGCUUUUGUGUUAGCAAGUCAUCAUUAGGUGAUGUUAUAUUCUCUUUAACGUUUUGUUUCAAUUCCCUGUAAGCCUCUAGGCAGCUUGUAUACUCUCUCCAACUUAGGCAUAUCUUGUGCUUUUAGUUGUGCUUUAUAAAUGUAUUUUGCUGUUUAAAAAUAAAAACCCUUAAUUUUGUAACUUUGAAAGGCAAAGUAAAUAAAUCACACAUCCAACGACCAAUACUAUGUCCUUGCACACUUUGCAUUCUCUCAAUUUACCUUCAAUUAUGUUAGAUUGUUAGCUCCUUAGGAAGAUGACAUUCAUGUUACCUCCAUUGUAUUGAGAGUGAACAAUCUGACUAAUGCAAAAAUGGUGAUUUAGUCCUAUGUUACAUAUGGAAAACUGGU
Molecule: long non-coding RNA, 544 nt
Filed under: Trifolium pratense (red clover)
Lineage: Eukaryota; Viridiplantae; Streptophyta; Magnoliopsida; Fabales; Fabaceae
Description: long non-coding RNA (TPRA_LNC010950)
Source: RNAcentral